CGUGACGACUUUUCAAUAGAGACAGAAAGGCCCUCGAUAGAAGAGCAGGGUUCCACCUUCAGGUAUUUGGGACUCUGUUGAAGGUGUGGGUCCCCGCGGUGGGGGCUGAGCCGCCAUGCGGUGUGAGGAGACAAAGGGAUCCAGAUCCAAGCUGAUUCUUCCCCGCGUUGGGAGUCGGUGCCACGGCUGUCUCGUAGCUCUUCAUGCAACUCAUACCAGGUGCUUGAAGAAGGCGGAUUCUGAGGAUCUGUGUCCAGAUGGCUGCUGAAGCUUCUACUCCAGAUUCAAGGGCAGCAGUCCUCAGGAGACCGCAACACUUCACUCUCCUGGUGGAAAUUGAUGCCUGGCUCAAGUGUGAGUCCAGACCCACACAACUGGGAGACGAGGUCUUUAAUGAAGCGGAAAUUCCAUGCCACCUUGGAUGGAUCCCUCACAGGUCUAAAUGAGAGGACCACCCUCCUAGUGAUAAGGAGAAACACAAAAUCAUUUCCAAAAUCUUCCACAUAACUUGGCCACAGACUAAAGAGAAGGUAAAACCUUUAGUUGGCAACCAUGAGAGAACUAAGACUGAAACCAUACAAUUGUCACCUUGUCUUUCACUCUCUUUCUAGGAAUGAGGGCUCCUCAGGAGAAGGUCAUAGCCUCUUAGUGCUAUUCAAGACGAUGGAUGUGUGUGUCACAAGCUGCCUCAGUUUCCCAGGAAGAGAUGACUUUACCAUGAAUAACUCAUAGACACCACUGGGAUUUGAAGGAACAGGAAAGCAAAUAUGUAUGUUAUGAGUAUAUAUCCGGGACGCAUCUGGAGAGGAGGCACCAUUCUAUGACAACAGACCCCUUUGAGUCAGGCGGUAGGACUGCAGCUGCUGACCUUUCUUUGUAGAGAAGUUUAAUGAUGGUGGUGAGUUGGUGCCAUCUUGUGACAAAACCUGCACUGCAGCUUGAACUUCGCGGACAGGAAGGUAGAGGGAGGGGCUGUGGCCCAAACCAACCAGACAGAGCCUUCUGGAAAUCUGGAUGGAAAGGGGACAUUUCCAAGGUGCAGCUGAAAUCUCUGAAUAUUAUAUGGGCAACAAAUACAAGACUCUGAAAGGUGGAGAGGAAAAAGGCAGACCGACUCGGGACUUUGGGACCCAACUCUUCAUGGUGGUGGCCGAGUUCAUACCAGGUGCCUGAAGGAGGCAGAUUCUGAGGAUCUGUGUCCAGAUGGCUGCUGAAGCUUCUACUCCAGAUUCAAGGACAGCAGUCCUCAGGAGAGCCCGUCACCUUACAUCCCUGGUGGAAUCUGGUACCUGGCUGAACUAUUCCACUAUAAUUAAUUCCUGGGAUCUUGAGUGGGGAGAGAAGAGGAAGAAGCAUAUAUGAAUAGAGAGAGAGCACAAACAGGAGGAGCCUGAGAGGGAGAAGCAGCCCCCCACCAAGCCGAGCAGGGAGUCCAACAUGGGGCUCGAUCCGAGGACCCUGGGAUCACGAUCUGAGCCAAAGGCAGGUGCUUAACUGACUGAGCCACCCAGGGGUCCCUCAUCUGCUUUUCACCUCAUAUUUUUUCCAGCCUUGAAGAUCAUUACCUAGAUCUGCAUUUCAUUAAAGGUUCUAAAGGGGUGAUAUUCUAAUUCUAUAAUUUCUUCUGCAUUUGUUAGCUGGAAUUCUUCUAUAAGAGGAACUCCCCCUCAUCAACAAUUACACUAUGCUGAGGUAUGGUUUGCACAGCAAGGGGAGGAGGAAUGUUUAAUUCCUUUGCAGUAUUUCCACCUUUCAAAAUAAUGAGUUUCCCUAGGAUUAUUCAAAGGUAAAAUGUGGCAUGUUCUACACAAGUAGAGUCCAAUAAAAAUUUCUGUGGAAAUGAAAAAAUAUUCUGUAUGUACAUUUGCCAAUAAAGUAGCCAUUAGAUACCUGUUGAACUCCUGAAACCUGAGAUAGAGACAGCCAGCGAGAGAGGGAACACAAGCAGG
Molecule: long non-coding RNA, 1949 nt
Organism: Ailuropoda melanoleuca (giant panda)
Lineage: Eukaryota; Metazoa; Chordata; Mammalia; Carnivora; Ursidae
Exons: 12
Source: RefSeq, a predicted model, not a curated record